RNAcentral lists this long non-coding RNA (21170 nucleotides) under Prunus persica (peach). RNAcentral describes it as "long non-coding RNA (PPER_LNC001560)". The record is from RNAcentral. Lineage: Eukaryota; Viridiplantae; Streptophyta; Magnoliopsida; Rosales; Rosaceae.
ACACCAAAGGCAAGUUGCGCCUGGCAUCGGCAUCAGCCGGAGGGAGGCCGUCGGGAAUGGUUUCGAAUCGAAACGAAGGGAGGCCGUCGAGAGCGUGGGAACCUUGGGAUUCAAGCAUGCGCUUGUGGUUGAACUCUGUGUUCACAAAGGUUAUGUGGAAGCCUUUGUAGUUGAGGAGCUUGGCUAAUUGCAGCAUAGGGUUUAUGUGACCCUGAGCUGGGAAGGGUACAAAAACUGCAUGUGGCUUCUCUUUGGAGGCAACUGGACUCAUUUUCUCUGUAUGAUAUCCUAGACAAAAGAGCUGAAGGGAAAUGGAGAUGAUGGGAUGCUAAGAGAAGUGUAAGAACUUGCAGUUUUAUAGUGGUGAAGGGUCAAGGGCUGCACUGUGCGGGCAAGUGCUUCUUGACCGUUGAUGCAUUUUUCGGAUUCUCUAUCUGUUUUUUUAAGAUAAAUUGAGUGCCAGUCAUUCCUCGUGGUAUGAUUAUUAUAAUCUCAGAGAUCGACCUUUCCAAAUGAGUCCAAGGCCACGGUGUCCAGAACAAAUGCUCGCACAACUACUGCCUGAUUAGUGUGUUAGAUUGGAGACAUUGUCGCAUGGCAAGUGUGAAAUGUGUGAAAUGUAUGUAGACUUCAAAACGCACACAAGGUUCAGUCAUAAUCAGAAGAGAAAUGCUGGCCGGCAACUUUCAUAAUUUCAUGGGCCAUACUCUUUUAAAUAAAGAUGUAGAAAGUCUUUAAAAAAAGGAGAAGUUUUAGAGAAUAAAUUACAUUGGGAAAAAGAAAAAGAAGUUUCACACUUUCAUUUUUUUCACUUACACUCGUGCAAAGAUAACUAGUCUUAAAUGAUUAUUCAGUAAUUUAUAAAAUAAAAUAAAAUAACAAACUAUGCUCCUGUGUAUAAGGUUGCAUUUUAUGAAGAACAAACAUUAUUUGUCACCAUCAAUUAUGGAUGUUAUUACUUUUUGGUUUAGUUUAAUAUUGAAAAGAGGGAAUAAAUACAUGACCUUGGUUAUAACUUAUAGGGACAAAUAUUCUAAGUCACUUCAGCCCCUUAUAAAAUUUCAAAUUUGACUAAACCAUAUCAUUUUUCAUCUUGACUACCCUACAAUCUCAUUAAAUCUUUCUUUUUCCAUUUGCCUAUGCUAGUCACCAGUCAUUAGAAAAUCCUUGUGGCUGGAUGUCGAAGAGUCUAUGCCAAUGCCCAUUAGUUAUUCCAUUUGAAAGAACAUGUGCUUUGUUUUAUGCAUUUACUUUUUAUUUUAUUUUAUACAAGCGAUAUUGAGGGGAGAGAAAUCGAACUUAGGACCUCGGGUGUAAGUGUAUUUGUUCUUAAUCACUUGAGCUACAAACAGGGGCAGAGCCAUUAAAGGAUUAGUGUGGUCCCAUGCCCCCACUCCAUCUUUUAUUCAUUGUAUUAUAAUAUUAUGUAUGAUGUAUAAUAUUUAACAUAUUAGACUAGUUUUAGGAGAUAUUUAUCCUAAAAUAAAUAGUAUAUUUUUUGUAUUUUUUGUCUACAACAAUAAAACUUCUUAAUCACUUUUUUAUUUCUCUCUUUUACCUUCUAGAUUAGUUUAUGAUAUUUACACUAAAAACUCCUACAUUUUUAACCUUUCUUUCUCUUUUUCUUUUGUGUAAGUUAAACUUUGUGAAUUUUUAUUUCCCUCUCUUUUUUCAUAGAUUUUAUGAACCCCUUUUGUAUUUAUUCUCUAUGUUGGAAUAUAAAUUAUUAAUUUGUGAGUUUAUAAUAUUUUAGAUGAUGAGAUUAGUACUUAACCAUUAUAAAAUAUGAAAUUGCGGACAAUUAUGAUUGUAAUGAAUGGAUAUAUUAAUCAAUAUAAAAUGAUGUUAUGAAGUAGGCCAAAAGGAGUAGUUUAAUUAGUGUCAUAUUAAUUUAGCAUAUUCUUAAUAAACUUGUGAAUGAGAAUGACUCCCUUUAAUUUGAAAUCCUGAUUCUGCCAUUGACUACAAGUCCCUUGCACAUUUACCUUUUUCAUUUAAGUCUGAAGAAUGCCUUGUAAAAAUGUAAAACGAAAACUAUUAUUGACACUGCAAAGAAAACAUCAUACAUUAAUUCAUUCAAUUGUAAUUUCUCUUAUGAUUUUAUAAUUUUUUAGAAUUCCAAUAACAGCUCUGGAUAAAAUUCAUUAGAAAGAAGAAUUGAAGUAUGUUCAAACAGAUUUCAAAAUAGACUAAACAAUUUAUCAGUAACAACUUUUGUCAGCUUAAUUCCAUUUGUGUGUCAAUUUCGUCCUUAUUAUCAUAAAUUCUGUUAUCAGUAAACAAUCCCCAUAUCAAACAGAGUGUUCAGUUAAGGACAGUGACAAUCGAGCAAUAUUGCCUGACGAAACACCAAACCAGAACUUAAAAUCACGAUAAAAAGGAAAAGAAAGACGUGCUGUCUUCAAUGAGAAAACCAACUUCAGAUCUAUUCUCACACCAAGUGAAAACAUAAGGACAAGAUUGAUGAAAUCGAUGACACAUUAACACUACAACACUGGGCGAAACUCGAGUUUCAUUGUGUUGAAAUGAGUGAUACGAGUGUGCCUUAAUCUAAGAAACAUUGCACACCGCCCAAAAAAAUACUCAAUAAUUGUAUUUUGGUCAAACAAAAAAGAUGAGCAAAUUACAAAAAAAGUAAAAAUAAAAAUAAUCAGGGAAUUCAGAAGAUGUUAUAAAGUAAUAAGCGAAGCCCAUAUAAAGAAAGUAAAAGGAUAUUAGUCAAAAGAUGAAAUUAUGAUGUUGCGUAAAAGUAUCAUUAUGUCUCCUUUAGAUGCCAUUUGCUUUGCCUAUAAAUAGGCAUCAUUUUACUUGUAAAGAUACAUGAAUGGAGAAAAGAAGAGAAAGAAGAGAAAGUGAGAGGAAAUAAGAGAGAGUGAGAAAUCUGAGUGUGUGAGUUCUGUCUAAGAAGAAAUUCUAUCAGUGUAAACAUCAUAAAGAGCAAAUAUAAUUUCACUCCCAAUAUUCAGUGGUACUUCUCAUACUCUUUAAUUUCUUUAGUUUUAUAACACGUUAUCAGCACAAUAGUCUCUCCUUUUUAUUUCUAAAUUUGUCCCAGUGUGCUCAACACUAUGUGGUUAUUUCUCUGUCUCCUCUCUGUCAUAUGUCUCAUCUCACUUUACUACUACGACGACAUGCAAACUUUCUUUUUUGUGUUCUCACAAUUUUUAUGUUGUUUCAUCCAUGCUUGUUUAAUUUACUUCUUUGUAACGUAAUUUGGAAUGAUGCCGUUUUAUACCCCAUCAUGUUGUUUUAUGGUGGUGUAAUUUUUAUUACCCAUCACGUUGUAACACAAAUUAUCAUAAUAAAAUGAUGGUGUGAUCUUAAAACCCAUAUAUUAUAUUUUGAAUAGUGGCGCAGUUAUAUUGCCUGCAAUAUAUAAUAUGUUAUAUACUUUAUAUAUUUUAGGUGGUGGUUUUUGUCUCCACAUUUACUUUAACAAAAUGGACGGUUUUCACCUCCUAUAUUUUUCAGUGGUGGUUUUAUCCCCACAUUUAUUUUAUUUAUGGUAUAGAGUAGGUUUAUUACUCAUACGGCAAUAUUUAUUUAAAAAUGUGGCACGGGUUUAUCGUCCACACAGCUGCCUUUAUUUUUAUUUAAAAGUAUGGAGCAGAAUUAGUCCCCCUGCAAGCACAUUUGCUUUAUUAUUGUAUGGUGUGGAAUUAACCUCCAUACAACAAGCAAUUUACUUUAUGAAUUUACUUUACUGCACAUUUUCUUUCAUUUAAGGUAUAGUGCGAAUUUAUCGUCCAUACCAGCAAAUUUAUGGCACUUUAUUUUUAUCAUCAAUUAAUAUACCUGAAUAAUGAGGGCCUGAAGUUCCUAUUAAUAAGUGGCUUAAUGUCCCAGAUCCCAAGCCUAAAGUUUCGGAUGGCAAAUUUGGCAAAACUGAAGUUUACUGCCUUGGACAUUUCUGGAGACAACUAUUUAUCAUGGCUUUUGGUUGCCAAAAUCCAUCUACGUGCCAAUGGCCUCGUACAAACAAUUUUAUAUGGGAAUGAUGAUUUGCCUGAAGAAAAUGCGAAGGCCAUGAUCUUUCUUCGUCACCACAUCCAUGAAGCGCUGAAAAGCGAAUAUGUGGUGGUUGAUGAACCGUUGGUUCUAUGGAAAGCUUUAGGUGAAAGAUACGAUCACUAGAAGAUGGUGACCUUCCCAAGAGCUAGAUAUGAAUGGACCUACUUGAGAUUUCAAGAUUUCAAGACAGUGUCCGAGUACAACUUUGCUAUGCACAGAAUUACCUCAUUGAUGAGGCUAUGUGGUGAAAAUAUAUCUGAGGAGGAUAUGCUCGAAAAAAACUUUGAGCACUUUUCAUGCUUCAAAUGUCCUCCUGUAGCAGCAAUACAGACAUAGCGGUUUCAAGAAGUACUCGGAACUUGUAUCUUGCCUCUUGUUAGUUGAGCAGAAUAAUGAACUCUUAUUAAAGAAUCACCAAUCUUACCCAACGGGCUCAGCACCACUUCUUGAAGUAAAUGUUGCAUCUCAAGAAGUGAAUGUCACCUCAUCCCGUGGCAAUAUCCACAGACGUGGACAAAAAGGCAAGCGUGGCUGCUGGCAAAGAAGCAAAAAAGAUCGUGGUGCUCGUUCAGAUGGUUUAGGUUCAAUGAGCAAUCAUCCACGAAUGGCAAAAAUGCAUCCCGUAAUAAGGGGAAGGCACGGACGAGCCAUGUGCCUAGAAAUGUGGGAAGUACUUGUCACAGAUGUGGUGCAAAGGGACAUUAGGCGCGUGAAUGUCAUACGCCCAAGUAUUUGGCAAGCUCCAAAAGAGUCAAGAAAUUAAAGUCAGACAAAUCCGCUCAAACGAUAACCUGGCAGAUCUCUUCACCAAAUUAUUGCCAAAAUGUACAUUUCAAAAGUUAGUGCAUGGCAUCGGAUUACGAUAACUCUUCAAGCAAUCAAAUUGAAACAUGCAAAAUUAGGGGGAGCAUUCAAGAGUCCACUAACACAGGACAUAUGAGCGUUGUACUCUUUUUCCUUCGACUAGGGUUUUUCCUAGCAAGGUUUUAACGAGGCAACAUGAGCGCAUUUAACAUUACCCUUAUGUCCUAAAUAAAGUUGUACUCUUUUUCCUUCAUUUAUGUUUUUUCCCACUGGAUUUUUUCAAGUAAGUUUUUAAUGAGGCAACCAAUCUAGGGACAUGUAGUCUCCAAGGGGGAGUGUUAUAAAGUAAGAAGUGAAGCCCACAUGAAGAAAGUAAGGAGGUAUUAGUCAAAAGAUGAAAUUAUGAUGUUGGGUAGAAGUAUCAUUAUGUCUCCCUUAGAUGCCAUUUGCUUUGCCUAUAAAUAGGCAUCAUUUUACUUGUAAAGAUACAAUAAUGGAGAAGAGAAGAGAGAGAAGAGAAAGUGAGAGCAAAGAAGAGAGAGUGAGAAAUCUGAGUAUUUGAGUUCUGUUUGAGAAGAAAUUUUGUCAGUGUAAACACCAUAAAGAGAAAAUAUAAUUCCACUCUCAAUAUUCAGUGGUACUUCUCAUACUCUUUGAUUUCUUUAGUUUUAUAACAGUAGACAAAUUCUUCAGCUACACCACCCAAGAAUUUUUCCUGGAAAUAGAGUUUUGAAAGUGGUACCAAGGACAAGUUCAUGUGACAAAAUUAAUACAUUCUAAUUUUUGGAAGAUAGAAGCACCUUGUUAACCAUUUGUUCCAAAUCCAAAAAGGAUGAUCCAUAUGGACCAGUAGUAGCCUCCUCUGCCAACUUCUUCCAUUCCAAGGCUUUCUUCCUCAUCUUUUUGCCCUCCUCUCCCUCCAUCAACUUUCUCACCAGCUCCUCCACAUAAUUUCUUUUCACAUCAUCCCCUACCUCCAACCCUACGCCCCAUUCUCUGCAGCUGUACCUACAAUUGGUUGGCUGCUCUCCACAGAAGGACCAACAGAUCAGAGGCACACCACCGCACAAACUUUCCAGUGUAGAGUUCCAUCCACUGUGCGUCAAGAACCCUCCCACCGCUGGGUGGCUCAGGACUUGUUCUUGAGGGCACCAAUGAGCCAAUAGAGACCUGUCUUUCGUCUCUUCCAAAAACUCUGCUGGAACCACAGCUGAUUCUCCCCUAACAAGGUCUGGCCUAAUCACCCAUAGAAAUUUUUUUUUGCUAUUUGCAAGUCCCCAAGCAAACUCAAUCAGCUGCUCAUUUGUGGUGACUGCAAUGCUUCCAAAGUUGACAUAAACCACAGAGUUGGGUUCUUUGGUGUCUAGCCAUUGAAGACACUCUGGCUCCUCUGUCCAUAGGUUUGAAACAAUCGACUUCAACUCGUUCUCUGCUGGGAUCUGUUUGAGUUGUAGGUUUAGGGGUCCAAUGGAGUAAACAGGUGGAAGCAAAGUUGAAAGUGAGUCUAUGACUUCAUGUUCCAAGUCAUGAAAUGUGUUCAGAAUGACGGCGGAAGCUUUCUUAGUUCUCUCUGUUUCACCCACCAGAAAAUUCAGCAUGAUAUCAUCUGGCUCUGUGGUUCUCAUGAAGGUUGGCAAGUCCUUCAAACGGAUGUUCCUCAUGCCUGGUACCCAAUCUAGCACAGUAUUUAAAUGCCCGUUUGUAAAAUAACUGGCAUCUGCAAAAUCAGAUUAACAAAGUCUGUUAUGUUUUGUUCAGAGGGAAAAACGGCAGUUUACUCUUAAUCAGACAAUUGAUUGAUUGAUUAAUACCUUCAAAAGGAGUGAGACCUUUUUCUAUGAGUUGAUGAAACUGAACGUAGCCCAUGAAACCACAAGCACUAGGUGUCCAGAAAAAAACUGCGGGAACACCAAGUUCCUGAGCUGCAUCAAGAGUGAAACUCAUAACACCAUCAGUGAUUAAGCAAGUGACACGUGGGGAAUCAGGCGAAGAAUUGAGCUUGGAGAGAAGGUCUCUGAAGUGAGGCAAGGAGUGUUUGCUAGUGGAAUCACAUAAGGAUGGUAUGUCUUGGGUGGCAUCGGCAUCGGUUGGAGGAAGGCCAUCGGAAAUGGUCUCGAAUCGAAACGUGGGGAGGCCGUUAAGAGCGUCGGGACCUCGAGAUUUAAGGAGGCGUUUGUGGUUGUACUCUGUGUUCACAAAGGUUAUGUGGAAGCCUUUGUAGUGGAGGAGUUUGGCUAAUUGCAUGAGAGGGUUUAUGUGACCUUGAGAUGGGAAUGGCACGAAGACUGCAUGUGACUUCUUUGAGGUCAAGGCAAUUGAACUCAUCCUCUCUCCCGUCUCUCCCAAAUCAAACACAAACCAGGAAAAUGGGAUGCUAAUCAAUGACAGAGUACGUACCUGGGAGUUUUAAAGUGGUAAAAAGGUCAAUGAGCUGUGCUACCAAGCGAAUAAGGAAUUCCCGGCCAUUAAUAAUGCACGUAGAACUCACCGUCCCACAUUAUAUAAAAAAUCCACGUGUGUGUAUAUGUGCGGUUUUUUUUGGGUCUAAGAUGCCUGAUAGAUAAGCGUGCUCCUCAGUCUAAGGAUGUGUGAACUGUGUGAGAGCACAUGUUGUGAACUGUGCGAGAGCACAUGCCCACGCAGUAAGGCAUAUAGUACAAAAUGUUCAGAAAAAAAAUAAAAAAAUACUUGCCUGCACCCUUCUACAUCUCUUAAUCAUGUGCCGUAUUUAUUUAUUUUCUUACAAACUGUACUUAUCAUAGUUUGCUGGCCGGUAGUUAUCAUAAUUCCUUUGAAAAGUUAUCUAAAUAUAUUUAUGUAAUUAUAUAUAUUUGUAAUUUAAUAUGAGGUGAAAUUGAAAAGACAUUGGCACACAAGAUAAAAAUAUUUAAAUUUGUCAUUCUCAGUCUAAAUAAAUAUAUAUUAACUGGUGUUAGGUAAUUUAAAAAGUUAUCAGGCAUUUAGCAAUAAUUUAUUUCAAUUAUUAUGUUGGAAAUUGAAAUUUGUUGAGGUAAAAUGUUCAUAAAAAAUAAAAAUAUAACAAAAAAUUUAUUCACAAAUAACUUUAGCACAUAGUCCAAUUAUUGGAGCUAAUUGCCUCACCUCUUCUAUCCAAAAGUAUCAGAUCUCCACAUGAAUAUGAUUUUAUUUAUUGCCUUAACCAUCAACCAAUUUGGGUCCUACAAAAGAUGAAUGCACAUGAGCAUUUCUUGGAGGUUCGGCAUAUUCUUAUAUGGAUUUGUUUAUAUUUUAUAUUUGUUGAUGGAACAAGAAUCAGUACUAUUUUAUAUGGAUUUGUUUAUAAAAAUUCGCUCCUAUUCAGUAUUUGUAGUUCUGGGACGUAUGCUCCACCAACAUAUAUGAAUUUUUUGACAAAAGUAUCAGUACUAUCGUAAAGUGGAUCAAGUUUAACAUUAAAUUUUAAGCCAACAUUAUGUGUCUUUUUUUUUUGGAUAGGACACCAACAUUAUGAGUUGACGCUGAGUUUAUUAGCAACUUUCUUUUGAGGCAUUUCUCUACUCUUUGUGGCUCGACAAAAAAGAUAGGCUCUACGAGAUUGCAUCGCAAAAAUGCUUUCUUACUUUGUCUUGUUACGUGACGUGACUACACGAACUCUUUACCUUUAUGUAAAAGAAGGAAACAAACAAGUGAAAGUAACUCGUUCUUCCCUUCACGUCACAUUCAUGCAUGGCCCAAAGGAUGGAUAGUUUCAAGAAUUGGGAAAUCUGAAGGGAAUUGAAAGCAAGCCUCAGUAAGUGGUUCCAUGCAAGGUCUAAAAUAUCGGGGAUAUUGAAAAUAUUCGUAGUUUAAAAAUAUAAAAAUUUUGAUGAAAAUAUCGAAAUAUUAUCGAUAUCGAUAAAAAUUGAAUAAAAAUAACAAAAAUUGUAAGAAAAACUUGGAAAUUUUUAUUGAAACUUUGGAGGAUGCUUAUUUAGUCAAUUAUCUAUUAGUUUAUCACAAAAGAAUUGGAAGAAAAUGCAUUGUAUGAUGAAUUUAACUAAUUUAAGUUGAUUAUAUAGCGAGCUGAGAAACACUGUGAGUGUAGAAAAUAUGUAGUAAUUAAUGAAAUAUGAUUAAACACACCACAAUCAUUUAUAUAUAAUGAUUUACUACAAUAUUUUACAUUUUAUACAUUGCAUGGUAAGAUACAUAAGUGACUUGGUACCACAUAGAAUUCCUAUGAGAUUCAAAUUUUUCACUAUCUUCAUCAUCUCUAUGUGUAGAGUAAGUGAAGAGUAGUCAUCAAAUGAUAAAUCCUCAAAAUAGUUUUGCAUGUAAUUGUUAACAUGUCACCCAUAUGGAUCCGAGAUUGGUUGACGUUGUCCAUGAGCAAAAUUAUUUGAAGAUUGAGUCUCAGAUUCUUUCCAUGAGCUGCUCAAUUCCUUCCCAAAAGGAAUGGGAUAUGAAGGGUAGAGAAAUGGUUGGAAAUGUAAGGUCCAUCAUUCUUUGCUUGUCCAUGUCUUAAUAUUCAGAAGAAAAAAGAACUUACCACUUGGACGCCACAAUACAAAGCAAACCAAAGAUGACUAAUUUUACAAGAGGAAACACCUUGAAUCCCCUUUGUGUUUUUUUUCCUUUUUUUUUUCGCUUAUUUUUUUCAUUACAUUGAUAUUUUCGAUAUUAUAGCGAUAUUGUAUCAAAAUAUUGCUGAAGUGAGAGCAAAAUUAUCGACAUCGAUAUUUUCCGAUAUUAUCAUCGAUAUUCUCGAUAUUUAUACGAUAUGUGCAUAGAUACGUUUCGAAAUAUCCGUGAUUCGAAAAAAUGAUAAUAUCCUCGAUAUUUCGUCGAUAUUAUCGAUAUUUUAGACUAUAGUUCCAUGGAGGGGCCAAUUUCAAUUAGGGGUGGACAUUCAAACAAGAAAACUAGUUAAAUUUCUAAACCUAUAACUUUGCGUAUCAAUAUAGACACGAAAUUUUAUAGUAAUGGUGCUAUAUAUAUAAACCAAUUGUAAUUUUAUUAUGUAGUUUUUAUUGGUAAAAUUGGAUCUUAGGAUAGCCCAAAAACGUUGGGCCUAUUUAGCAAACCAUUGGGUUCCAAUAGAAUUUUUGUUUAUUAAUUUGCAUGUACCCAAUAAAAAAUAAGAGCAAAUUACAAACAAAAACUUCAAGGAACCCAACACCCAAGCGUUGUUCUGUAUCAAUGAGCUACCAAGAACAAAAAAAAUUAACACAAUUGCUCCAUUCUAAUUUCUGGGAGAUAGAAGCACCUUGUUAACCAUUUGAUCCAAAUCCAAAAAGGAUGAUCCAUUAGAACCAGUAGUAGCCUCCUUUGCCAACUUCUUCCAUUCCAAGGCUUUCUUCCUCAAUUUUUUGCCCUCCCCUCCUUCCAUCAACUCUCUCACAAGGCCCUCUAUGUAAUAUCUUUUAACGUCACCCUCUAUCUCCAACCCUAUGCCCCAUUCACUGCAACAAAACCUGCAAUUGGUUUGUUGGUCAGCAUUGAAAGGCCAACAGAUCAUGGGCACCCCACCUCCCACACUUUCAAUAGUAGAGUUCCAUCCACAGUGUGUCAAGAACCCUCCGAUAGCUGGGUGUAUCAAGACUUGUUCUUGAGGGCACCAACUUGCCAAUAGACCCCUUUCCUUGGUCUCUUCCACAAACUCUGGUGCAACCACAACUGAUUUCCCCUCACAAACAAGAUCAGGUCUAAUGACCCAAAAAAAGGCCUUGUUGCUAUUUGCAAGCCCCCAAGCAAACUCAGUUAGCUGCUCAGAUGUCAUGACUGUGCUGCUUCCAAAAUUGACAUAAACCACAGAAUUGGGUUCUUUAGAGUCAAGCCAUUGAAGACACUCUGUUUCCUCUGUCCACAGGUUUGAUCCAAUGGACUUCAAUUCGUUAUCUGCUGGGAUAUGAUCAAGUUGUAGAUAGAGGGGUCCAAUGCAGUAAAUAGGUGGUAGCAAAGUCGAAAGUGCAUCUAAAACUUCAUGCUCUAAGGCAUCAAACGUGUUCAAAAUGAUGGCAGAAGCUCUUUUAGCUCGUUCUGUAUCAACCAUAAUGAAAUCCAGAAUCGGGUCAUUUGGGUCUGUUGUUCUAAUGAAGCUUGGGAUGUCCUUCAAUCGGAUACUUUUCAUUCCAGGUAUCCAAUCUAUCACAGUAUCUAAAUACCCAUUUGUCAAGUAUCUGGCAUCUGCAAAUCAAAUUAAGAAAAAAAAAACUAGUGAGUUGAUUGAUAAAAUUCUAUGUGAAACAUCAAGUACAAGUUUUUCUUUUUCAAAAUUAAAAACAGAAACAAUUAGCAGUUGGGUUUUUAUCUGCAUAAUCAUUUUUGAUUAAUUGUUACCUUUAAGAGGAACUAAACCCUUUUGAAUGAGAGGUCCAUACUGAAUGUAGCCCAUGAAGGCACAAGCACUAGUUGUCCAAAAAAUAACACCCGGAAUUCCGAGUUCUUGGGCUGCAUCGAGACUGAAGUUCAUGAUGCCAUCAGAAACUAGACAAGUAACCGGAGGCGAAUUCGGCGAAGAUUUGAGCUUCGAAAGAAGGCCUCUGAAGGGUUGUAAGCAGUGUUUCCUAAUGGAUUGGCAGAGGGACGGCAUAUGUUGGGCAGCAACAUUAGCAUCAGCUGGAGGCAGGCCAUCGGGGAUCAUUUUGAAACGAAAAGUAGGGAGGCCAUUGAGAGAGUUGGGGCCUUGGGAUUUAAGUAGGCGUUUGUGGAUAAACUCAGUGUUGACAAAGGUUAUAUGGAAGCCUUUGAAGUGGAGGAGUUUGGCUAGUUUUAGCAUUGGGUUUAUGUGGCCUUGAGCUGGGAAUGGCAUGCAUACUGCAUGUGGCUUCUCUGAGGUCAAGGCAUUGAAAAAAGCCAUUAACAGAUUUGCCUACUUAGGCCAACAGAGCAAAUUUAUGAUGACUAGAAAAGAUAAAAUUGAGUUCAAGCAGUGGGGGAGAGUGAGAAAUGGAUUAUGGCUACAAUAAUAGGUUAAGAGUUUGAUUCCACUCAAGGAAAAUAACAAAAAUCUGGUCUCAUGAUUGGCUCAUGUGGUGCCCUUUGAGAAAGUUGUGGUGAGCGGAUUGGAAUAUACUUUGCUAUGUUGGGAUAGGUACAGGUUAUUGAUGCUGAAAUAUGAAGAAUAUUAUAUAAAAUCACAACGUCAUAUAUGCAAAAUAUCCAUUGGAGAAUUUCCAAACCAAACAUACAUAACUGAAGAAGUAUGACCGCGUUUAGCCAGAAUAUCUGCUACUUAAUUAUAUUCUCGAUAAGCAUGUUGUAUCAGAACUUAAUUAAAACCUUUAAGCAUCUGCCAAAUAUAUUGAAAAUUUUAAUUUAAGGAAUUGUCGAAGAGUUAUUGUAGAAACGAAUUUUGAAAUCGGAAAAAUUUUGGUGUCACUCUCAUAUUAAAAAAUUAUUUGCCGGCGAAAAUAAAAUUUGGGUGACCGGAAAAUGUAAUUUAUCCCCAUAAAAUUACCACUAUUUGGCCAGCUAUUUACAUAAGCUACCAUUUUCAUUUCAAAGCCCUUCCCUCCUUUUUUCUGCCGUUAGUAAUCCGGAACACUGUUAAACAUCCCGAAAGAUUUCAUCCGAAAGAAAACAAAUUAGAAACUAAAACAUAUUAAAGAGGCUGUAGGUACAUAACCCUACCAAUUGGCAUCUGCUUGUUUUAUUUCUAUCAGAAAUGGAGUUUUCUUUUGAAGCAGACAUUGCAGACUGGGAGUAGCAUUGCUAAGACUGCGCUGAACAAGGUCUCUUUAAGGUUAAACGUGUUUCUGUUGGUAAGUACUUUGGUAUAAAGUGUAUUUUUGAUAGUGUUGAUCUUCACGAUAGGUAGCUCUAAGGGUUGGCUGUUUAUGUUUGCACGUGAGCUGUUCGUUAAAAUGCCUGUUUGGGAUUCCCCUUUAACUUUUUUAUAAAUGUGGUGCCUCUGUUUCCAUGUCUUUCACUUGCAUGAAGCAGUUUGGCUAUUUGCAGCAUUCUCUCUCUCUCUCUCUCUCUCUCUCUCUCUCUCUCACAAACACUGUUCAUGGGUGCAAUGCAAGUUUGUCGGUAUAUAAUUUUGCCAUAAUCUUGGGACGGCAGUCGAGAGUACAUACUAUACUUGGGUCUGGCAUGCACUAAAGUUUCUUUGUUUGUUUAUUUGUUUUGACAGUAUGUGUUCUCCAUGAAGAGUUUUGAGGUUUGUUUAUUUGUUUGCACGUUCUCGUUCCUUUCAUAAUCUUUAAUAAAAUAUUUGUAUAUUUAUAUUAUCAAAAGAACUCAUUUGAUCAAUCGAUAUAGAGCGAAGGGAGGGGGGAAAAUCUUGCGGCAAACAUCUCCUGCCUAAUUUGAAAGAGUUGAGAUAGCCCAGCUCUAUAGAGAAAAGAACAUGGAUGCAGCCAAAUCGAGCUCCCCUUUGAUGAGGGGCAAAAGAACAUAAUCUUAGGUAUAUUAUCCCAGGAAUGCACAUUUAUGAAAUUCAAUGCAGGAAUUUAGGCGGGCUAGUGUAAGUGAGUUAGAAUAACAUGGCUGUCAAUCCCUUUAGGUAUUUUAGGUAUAGUAACAAAGAACUUUUUUAUCACACAUAACCCAUCAAUUAUUUCCCGAUCAACAACGUGGCCAUGAAACUUUCGUAUCGUGCAUCAAUGUGGUAACCAAUGUCAAUUACGUUUGCCCUAGACUUCAUUUUACAUUGGACCAAUCUUAAUUAAAUGUAGACCUGAAAAAUGGUUUCAUGAUAGAAGUAUUAUUAAGCUCAAUAGGUAUACUUGUUGGACAAAUACAAAGUAACAACUAGAUAUAUUUUGAAUCAAUUCUAAAUUUCUAAUUCCUCGGAGAUAGAAGCACCUGGUUAACCAAUUUUUCCAAACCCACAAAAGAUAACCCAUUUGGACCAGUGGUGGCCUCCUUUGCCAACUUCUUCCAUUCCAAGGCUUUCCUCCUCAUCUCUUUGCCCUCCUCUCCUUCCAUUAACUUUCUCACAAGUUCCUCUACAUAAUUUCUUUUAACAUCACCCUCUAUCUCCAUGCCUAUGCCCCACUCUUUACAACAGAACCUACAAUUGGCAUGUUGCUCUGCAAAGAAGGGCCAACAGAUCAUGGGCACUCCACCACACAAACUCUCAAGGGUAGAGUUCCAACCACUAUGUGUCAAGAACCCUCCUAUGGCUGGGUGGCUCAGAACUUGUUCUUGAGGGCACCAACUUGCCAAUAGACCCCUUUCUUUGGUCUCUUGCAUAAACUCUGGUGGAACCACAGCUGCUUCCCCACCAACAAGGUCAGGCCUGAUCACCCAAAAAAAGGUCUGGUUACUGUUUGCAAGUCCCCAAGAAAACUCAAUCAGCUGCUCAGCUGUCAUGACUGUGAUGCUUCCAAAGUUGACAUAAACCACAGAGUUAGGUUCUUUAGAGUCAAGCCAUUCAAGACACUCUGGUUCUUCUGUCCACAGGUUUGAUCCAAUGGACUUUAAUUUGUUAUCUGCUGGGAUCUGAUUAAGUUGUAGAUGUAGGGGUCCAACGGAAUAAACAGGUGGUAGCAAAGUCGAAAGUCCAUGUAAAACUUCAUGAUCUAACGCAUCAAAUGUGUUCAAAAUGAUGGCAGAAGCUCUUUUAGCUCGUGCUAUCUCUACCAAUAGAUAAUCCAGCAUGAAGUCAUUUGGGUCUGUGGUUCUGAUGAAGCUUGGGAUGUCCCUCAAUCGGAUACCUCUCAUGCCUGGUAUCCAAUCUAUCUCAGUAUCCAAAUACCCAUUUGUCAAAUAGCUAGGAUCUGCAAAUCAAAUUAAGAAAUCGUACCAGUGAGUUAAGUUCUAGUUAAAUAUGUAACAUUUUUAGUACAAAGUCAGUGUUCCCAAAUGACCACUCUGGAAUUUGAAGUAUGUGUAUGUACCUUUAGGAGGCAUUAAGCCCUUUUCAAUGAGAGGGCGAUACUGUAGGUAGCACAUCAAGCCACAAGCACUUAGUGUCUCAAAAAUAACUUCCGGAAUGCCCAAUUCUUGGGCUGCAUCAAGAGUGAAGGUCAUGCCACCAUCAGAAACUAUACAAGUAACUGGAGGGGAAUCAGGCACAGAAUUGACCUUUGACAAAAGGUCUCUGAAGGGUGCUAAGCAAUUUUUACUAGUGGAAAGGCAUAGAGCAGUUAUGUCUUGGGUGGCAUUGGGAUCUGUUGGAGGGAGGCCAUCGGGAAUGGUUUCAAACUGAAAGGAUGGGAGGCCAUCAAGAGAGUUGGGACCUCGGGAUUUAAGCAGGCGUCUGUGGUUGAAUUCUGUGUGCACAAAGGUAAUGUGAAAGCCCUUGUAGUGGAGGAGUUUGGCUAAUUGAAGCAUUGGUGUUAUGUGACCUUGAGCUGGGUAUGGUAUGCAAACUGCAUGUGGCUUCUCUGUCAAAUCAAUAGAACCCAUUCUCACAAAUAAAUUUGGACAAAGCUAAUGAAAAUGGGAUAUGGUUGUGGAGAAGAGAAGCCUUUUGCAAUACCAGUUUUAUAGGAAAGAGAGAAAAGGAAUCAAUCACUUAGUAAACUUUCAAGUCCAAUAAGUCACAGUCCAUGACGAGGUUUUAUAAUGUUUUGGACGGCAGUCAAUAAUAUUCAAUUUUGUAUUCUUUCCCGUACUAUGUUUGGCAUGCAAUAAUUUAUGUUUGUGUAUUUGUUUUGAUUUGAUAAUUAUGCGUUCUAUAUUGAAGAGUUUUGGGGUUUGUUUUUGUUUUUUUACACCUUUUCUGAUCCCUAUUAGCUUUGCUAUGAAAUAUACAUUUAUAUCUGUGUUAUUAAAAAUACUCAUCUGAUCGAUCAUUAUAUCAAAAUAUAACCUCAUAGCUAUUACAUAAAUAAUACUAUAGGAAAAUCAAAUGUUAAUGUUAUAGGGCUAGAGCUACCUUAGUUGGUAUAUUUUAUGAACCAAGAAUUUAUCAUCCGCGCAUUCUGCAACACAAUUUGACAAAGUACACUCUUCAGAUUUGACAACAUACACUCUUUUCGGACAUUCAAAUAUGAGCGAUUCUAUUGUUAUGCAACAAGUCUCCGAGUAUAAACGGAAAACACCAAUCGCUGAGUCACACCGACUAGUUUCUCCUAAGAAUGCAAGGUAUGUUGUAUGUCAACAUGUUUCAAUUUUGGGUUUAACUAGGCCAAAUACAAAGCAGCAACCAGGUAGAAUUUUGAUAAAUUCUAAUUUCUGUAUCCGUGCAUGGCCUUAUGCUAAACCAAAACAUCCAAUCCACUCUCCUUUCUAUGAUCGACUUGGCACUCGUGGGACCGUUCGUUCACCCUUGAAGAAAAAGAGUAGCUGUAAUUUGGUCCAUCUGAUCUGAUAACGUCUAAGUCGUUCAUCCUUUUUCAUGUACUUGGAUUUCAUUGGAUGUAAGAUUAAAGAAAAUGUUUAGCAUGCAUGAUACAUUAUUACAAGUUCCAUCCAUACUUUGCCUGUACCGCUCAUACCAUUUAAAUUGUUGAAUUUUAAUUUCAUUUGGAAAAUGGCAGCAAAAUCUUUGAGAGCAGAUUGAGUUUUCAAGACUCAAAGACUCGCAAUAAUCACAGAAUCACAACAAUGGUGUUCAUCACAUCCCCCAACUAAGUUGAGCUUACCUAUAGAAUUACCACUAUUUUACCAACUAUUUACAUAAGCUGCUAUUUUCAUUUCAAAAAACCCUUCCCUCCUUUUUGUGCCGUUAGUAAUCCGGAACACUGUUAUCAGCUAAACAUCCCGAAAGAUUUCAUCCGAAAUAAAAGAAAUUAGAAAUUGAAACACGUUAAAGAGUCUGUAGGCUGUAGGUACGGACAACCCUACCAAUUGGCAUCAAUUUGCUUCAUUUCUAUCGGAAAUGGAGUUUUCUUGGGAAGCAGACAUUGCACACUAGGAGUACCAUUGCUAGCCUGCACUGAGUCUCUAUAAGGUUAAACACUUCUUUUUGUGUUAGUAAUUACUUUGGUGUGAAGUUUAUUUUUAUAAUGUUGAUCUUCACACUAGGUGGAUUAAGAAUUGGCUGUUUAUGUUUGCACGUGAAUCAUUCGUUAAAAUGCCUCUAUGGGAUUUGCCUUUAAUUUUUCUGAAUGCGGUACCUCUGUUUUCAUGUCUUUCACUUGCAUAAAGCUUGUUUUUUUAUAUCUUAUCUUAGGCUCUCUCUCUCUCUCUCUCUCUCUCUCUCUCUCUCUCUCUCUCCAACGCUGUUUAUGGGUGCAAUGCAGGUCUGUCACCCCCUUGUUACUCUGAUCUCUAGCUGCAAACAUCUGCUGCCUAAUUUGAAAGAGUUGAAAUAGCUCAGCUCUAUAGAGAAAAGAACACCGUUUCAUUAGUCUUGCCAAAUAAAGCUCCUCCUUUGAUGAGGGUAAAAAGAAGAUAAUCUUGGUAUAUUAACCUAAGAGUGCACAGUAUGGAAGUCCAAUGCAGGAAUUUAGGCAGAGUAGUGUAAGCUAGUUAGAAUAGCAUGGUUGUCAAGCUCUUUAGUUAUGUUAGGUUUAGCAACAAAGGGAGCUUUUAUCACACAUAAUCCAUCGAUUAUUUCCCGAUCAACAACGUGGCCAUGAAACUUUGGUAUCAUGCAUCAACGUGGUAACCGAUGCCACUUACGUUUGCCUUGGACUUCAUUUUACAUUGGACCGAUGUUAAGUAAAUGCAUACAUGAAAAAUGAAUUCGUGAUAGAAGCAGUAUUAAGCUUAAUAGGUAAACUUCUUGGACAAAUACAAAGUAAAAACAAGAUAGAUUUUGAAUCAAUUCUAAAUUUCUAAUUCCUCGUUGAUAGAAGCAUCUGGUUAACCAGUUUGUCCAAACCCACAAAAGAAAACCCAUUUGGACCAGUGGUGGCCUCCUUUGCCAACUUCUUCCAUUCCAAGGCUUUCUUCCUCAUCUCUUUGCCCUCCUCCCCCGCCAUUAACUUUCUCACAAGCCCCUCUACGUAAUUUCUUUUAACAUCACCCUCUAUCUCCAUGCCUAUGCCCCACUCUCUGCAACAGAACCUACAAUUGGUUUGUUGCUCUGCAAAGAAGGGCCAACAGAUCAUGGGCACUCCACCACACAAACUCUCAAGAGUAGAGUUCCAACCACUGUGUGUCAAGAACCCUCCUACGGCUGCGUGGCUCAGAACUUGUUCUUGAGGGCACCAACUUGCCAAUAGACCCCUUUCUUUGGUCUCUUCCAUAAACUCUGGUGGAACCACAGCUGCUUCCCCACCGACAAGGUCAGGCCUGACCACCCAAAAAAAGGUCUGGUUGCUGUUUGCAAGUCCCCAAGCGAACUCAAUCAGCUGCUCAGCUGUCAUGACUGUGAUGCUUCCAAAGUUGACAUAAACCACAGAGUUAGGUUCUUUAGAGUCAAGCCAAUCAAGACACACUGGUUCUUCUGUCCACAGGUUUGAUCCAAUGGACUUCAACUCGUUAUCUGCUGGGAUAUGAUUAAGCUGUAGAUGUAGGGGUCCAACGGAAUAAACAGGUGGUAGCAAAGUCGAUAGUCCAUCUAAAACUUCAUGCUCUAACGCAUCAAACGUGUUCAAAAUUAUGGCAGAAGCUCUUUUAGCUCUUGCAAUCUCAACCAAUAUAAAAUCCAGCAUGAAGUCAUUUGGGUCUGUGAUUCUGAUGAAGCUUGGGAUGUCCCUCAAUCGGAUACCUCUCAUGCCUGGUAUCCAAUCUAUCUCAGUAUCCAAAUACCCAUUUGUCAAAUAGCUAGCAUCUGCAAAUCAAAUUGAGUAAUAGUACCGGUGAGUUAACAUUCUAGUUAAAUAUGUAACAUUUUGAGUACAAAGUCGGUGUUCCCAAAUGACCAAUCAGGAAUUUGAAGUCAGUGUAUGUACCUCUAAGAGGUAUUAAGCCCUUUUCGAUGAGAGGGCGACACUGAAGGUAGCACAUGAAGCCACAAGCACUUAGUGUCUGGAGAAUAACUUCCGGAAUGCCCAAUUCUUGGGCUGCAUCAAGAGUGAAGGUCAUGCCACCAUCAGAAACUAUACAAGUAACUGGAGGGGAAUCGGGCAAAGAAUUGAGUUUUGACAAAAGGUCUCUGAAGGGUGCUAAGCAAUUUUUACUAGUGGAAACGCAUAGAGCGGUUACGUCCUGGGUGGCAUUGAUAUCUGUUGGAGGGAGGCCAUCGGGAAUGGUUUCGAACCUAAAGGAUGGGAGGCCAUCAAGAGAGUUGGGACCUCGGGAUUUAAGAAGGCGUCUAUGGUUGAAUUCGGUGUUCACAAAGGUUAUGUGAAAGCCCUUGUAGUGGAGGAGUUUGGUUAAUUGCAGCAUUGGGGUUAUGUGACCUUGAGCUGGGUAUGGUAUGCAAACUGCAUGUGGCUUCUUUGUCAAACCAAUAGAACUCAUUCUGGCAAAUAAAUUUGGACAAAGCUAACGAAAAUGGGAUAUGGUUGUGGAGAAGAUAAGGCUUUUGCAGUAUCAGUUUUAUAGGAAAGAGAGAAAAGGGAUCAAUCACUUAAUAAACUUUAAAGUCCAAAAGGCACUUUUCAUGACAAAGUCGAUUUGUCCUUAUAAUUCAAGUUGACUCUGUAAUGUGUGAUAAUCCUUGGAACGGCAGUCAAUACUAGAUAAGAUUCUGUUCGGCGUGCAAUAAUUUAUGUUUGUUUUUUAUUUGAUUUGAUAAUUAUGUGUUCCAUUUAAACAGUUUUGAGGUUUGUUUAAAAUCACGUGGCUCUGUACUAUUGGUUGUGUGGGUUCUAUACAUGUGCCACAUCAGCAAUUUAUCAAAAAAUUGGUCGGAAGCUAACGGCAGGGACUAUUUUGAUGUAUGGAUGCUAACCUUAAGAACCAUUACUAUCAUAAAAAAAAUGUUAGAGACGAAAUGUGAUAAUUUCGUAAACCUUGACACCAUCUGUGAUAUAAUAAAAACAACCUUAUAUCUAUAUUAUUAAAAAUACUCAUCUGAUCAAUCAUUCACGAUGCAGAACCAUUACAACAAAAUACACUCUUUUCAAAUUUGACUUAUCGACGUCUACAAAACAUAAAACACUGAGUGGCAUUGAAUGGUUUCUCCAAAGAAUGCAUGAUAUGUUGCACAAAUAGUUGUGUCCCGUUUGGGUUUAACUAGGCCAAAUACAAAGCAGCAAGCAACUAGGUAGAAUAUUGAUCAAUUCUAAUUUCUUGGAGAUAGAAGCACCUGGUUAAUCAUUUUGUCCAAAGCCACAAAUGAUGAGCCAUUAGGGCUGGUGGCCUCCAUUGCCAACUUCUUCCAUUCCAGAGCUUUCUUCCUCAUAUCUUUGCCCUCCUCUCCCUCCAUUAACUUUCUCACAAGCCCCUCUACGUAGUUUCUUUUAACAUCAUUCUCAAUCUCCAUGCCAAUGCCCCACUCUUUCUCACUGUACCUACAAUUGGUUUGUUGCUCUGCGAAGAAGGGCCAACAGAUCAUGGGCACUCCAGCACACACACUUUCAAUAGUAGAGUUCCAACCACUGUGAGUCAAGAACCCUCCUACAGCCGGAUGGCUCAGGACUUGUUCUUGAGGGCACCAAUGUGCCAAUAGGCUCCUUUCUUUGGUCUCUUCCACAAACUCUGGUGGAACCACAGCUGAAUCCCCACCAACAAGAUCAGGCCGAAUCACCCAAAAGAAGGUCUGAUUGCUGUUUGCAAGUCCCCAAGCAAACUCAAUUAGCUGCUCUGCUGUCAUCACUGUGAUGCUUCCGAAGUUGACAUAAACCACAGAGUUAGGUUCUUUAGAGUCAAGCCAUUCUAGACACUCUGGUUCCUCUGUCCAUAGGUUCGAUCUUAUCUCCUUCAACUCGCUAUCUGCCGGGAUCUGGUUAAUCUGUAAAUGUAGGGGUCCAAUGGAGUAAAUAGGUGGUAGCAAAGUUGAAAGUGCAUCUAAAGCUUCAUGUUCCAAGUCAUGGAAGGUGUUCAAGACGACAGCAGAAGCUUUUCGAGUUCGCUCUGUUUCAUGCACCAGAAAAUCCAGCAUGAGAUCAUCUCGGUCUGUGGUUCUAAUGAAGCUGGGGAUGUCCUUUAGUCGGAUGCCUCUCAUGCCUGGUAUCCAAUCUAUCUGCGUCUCCAAAUAGCCGUUGGUCAAAUAACUAGCAUCUGUGAAUCAAACAAAGAAAUAGUGCGUUAUUAUUCUAUUAAGCAACAUGGUUAGGUUAAGAUAUUCAUAUACAAAACUAAAAAUAAAAUAUAAAUCAGUCAAGAUAUGUUCAUGAAAAAGUCAGAGGAGUGAGAUUAAUACCUUUGAGAGGAGUGAGACCAUUUUCAAUGAGGCGGUGGUAGUGUACAUAGGCCAAGAAGCCGCAAGCACUUGUUGUCCAGAAAAGCACUUCUGGGAUGCCGAGUUCGUGGGCUGCAUCAAGAGUGAAGCUCAUGACACCAUCAGAAACUAUACAACUUACAGGAGGGCAACCAGUCGAAGAGUUCAGCUUAGACAAAAGGUCUCUGAAGUAAGGCAAGCUGUGUUUCCUAGUGGAUUCACAUAAGGAUGGUAUGUCUUGGGUGGCAUUGGCAUCAGUCAGUGGCAGGCCGUCGGGAAUGGUCUCGAAUCGAAAGGAGGG